Schistosoma margrebowiei is the source of this 48-nucleotide non-coding RNA. NCBI's taxonomy places the organism in Eukaryota, Metazoa, Platyhelminthes, Trematoda, Strigeidida, Schistosomatidae. The record is from Rfam.
ACUCAGCUGAUGAGUCCCAAAUAAGACGAAAUGUGUGUCAAACUGGAU